This 253-nucleotide ribosomal RNA is filed under the name uncultured bacterium. RNAcentral describes it as "partial 16S ribosomal RNA". It matches the Rfam family "Bacterial small subunit ribosomal RNA", at positions 524 to 776 of the family's 1533-position model. The record is from RNAcentral.
UACGUAGGGUGCGAGCGUUGUCCGGAAUUACUGGGCGUAAAGAGCUCGUAGGUGGUUUGUCGCGUUGUUCGUGAAAACUCACAGCUCAACUGUGGGCGUGCGGGCGAUACGGGCAGACUAGAGUACUGCAGGGGAGACUGGAAUUCCUGGUGUAGCGGUGGAAUGCGCAGAUAUCAGGAGGAACACCCGUGGCUAAGGCGGUUCUCUAGUACGGUACUGACGCUGAGACGCGAAAGCGUGGGGAGCGAACAGG